RNAcentral lists this long non-coding RNA (1720 nucleotides) under Triticum aestivum (bread wheat). RNAcentral's name for it is "long non-coding RNA (TAES_LNC022428)". The record is from RNAcentral. Lineage: Eukaryota; Viridiplantae; Streptophyta; Magnoliopsida; Poales; Poaceae.
UGCGACAUUAGUAUCUCGCCUCAUCCUCGCCGGCCGUGGUCAGAGGCUCCCGCGUCGACCCUUCCGUAGCGCCGGCACCGCAACAAUUUCUUCCCAAGUCUGGCUCCCACGACCAAGCGAGCUUCUUCUGGUUGCCAAUGGCAUUGCGAGGCAUGGAGUCGUAUGCACGCGACUUUUUGUUCGGGUAGGUCGCCGUCGCCGUGGAGGUGGAGCGCCAGGCUCUGGCUAAGGACGGUGAUGGUCACAGAUUCUUUCCUUUCUACAACGUAUAACCUUCCCUUUUCUUUACUAAGUAGUUUCUGAAAAUUCCGUCUGCUGUGCCCAAAAUUGAUUUCGGGUAGCGUUUUACACUUUCCCAUGUUAACAAUGGAGUCCUCUUUGCAGGUUGCGAGGCAUAUACUCAGAUUUAAACUAGAAGAUCAGGUAAGCUUGAUCAAAGAUGAAGACGUGAUUCAUUGUGAGUGGGGAAACAGCUUACAUUGCCUUUGUUUUUUAUCCCUUUCCAAUGUAUUAGUUGCACAGUUGCGCUGUAGUUUAUUUUCAUCUACUUUCUUAGCCCAUGCCAAUUAUAUGUGACGCGGCAUCAUGUACUAAUAAUACUAUUACGAAUGUAGAUGUUAUUCCUUCACUCUUCCAAACAUUUAGUAUCUGUACUCUACCAAGCAGAUGGUAUUGGUCAUGAAGAACUCAUGCUAAAGAAUUUUUUUAGAAGACCUUCAUAAGUCAAAUGUCGAUUUACUGCUUUUUCUCAGACUUGUUUACCCAGGCACCUAAAGGUUCUACCAUGGCAAAUACAAAAAUACUGGAGGCCUAGGAGGUCCGCUUCACGUAUUCGAUCUAGAAGAAAGCAUUGAACAGAAGGGUACAGAGGAAAGAAAUGCAAAUGGCAUGUACUUCUAUGUUUUUCUCUUUAUGUUCUUGUUUUUUCUUAUUUUCUCGUUUUGUGUGCACAGUAAAAUUGAAAACACAAUUGAGUUACUGACUCGUCUUAUUGAUGAAGCUUGCCGCUUUUCAAGAUUGAUAGAUGAAAUCUUGCUCUUCCUUAUGCAAGUUCUUUAACCACUAUAACUUGAUAUUGCAUUUAGUGUUUCAUUGGCCCAUCUACAUGUCUGUCUAUACAUUUAAUAAGGUACUUCUCAUUUCAAUUUCAUAAGUUAAUACUCUUGUACCAUGUUAUCUUGUCUAUUUUCAUCUAAUAAGCAUGCAACGGUGUUGUGUUUCGUCAAUUUUAUAGGAACAGGGAGGAGUUAGCUGCAAGACUUGAAUCACAAGAAAAAGAGGAAGUAUCAAGAAAGUUUGAAGUUUCGAAGAAGAGCCGGCAAGACAAGAGGGAAGCCUGGGAAAAGAAGCAACAAAAAAUUGAGAACCUAGUUGCCUUUCUCUCAAUCAAGGGAUCGAGCAACUUAGUAGUCCUUUUCCAAUCCUGAUAAUGCAUGAAGGUCAUCCUUUUGUGAUGGAAGAUAGUUGCUGAAUGAUACAUAACAAUCAUGCGGACAAUACUUCUGUGGUCUUUAGUUAUCGUUAUCUAAAUAUUAGUUUCCAACAUGUAUAUUGUCGUGAUUGUCAAACUAGUGAAUGAAUGUUGUUGUUGUUCUUGUUAUUGAGAGGAUGAUUUGGCUGAGAUGAUUGAAUUUAUAAUAUGAUUAGGCUGCCAAAUACAUUUUGUAAAAUACGUUUUGUAGCCGUGGGAUAUUUUGGUUAGUGCUGACAUGGCAGCAAG